Non-coding RNA from Arachis ipaensis, 945 nucleotides. The record is from RefSeq and is a predicted model, not a curated record. Lineage: Eukaryota; Viridiplantae; Streptophyta; Magnoliopsida; Fabales; Fabaceae.
AUCUUGUAUCUGUUAUUGAUUUUGUUUAGAUUUUAAAUGUUUUUCUUUUAUGUACUAUUUAUUCAUAUUAAGCUUAAUUUGAACUAUAUACCUUUCUUUGCUUUUGCUUUUUUUAAUAUUUUAACAUAUGAUCUACUAAAAUAACUAUUUUUUUCAUGUAGCUCUACAAGAUCAUGAAGGAGCAUAAGAAUCCUAAAGUUCUUAUUGAGGGACUUUUGUGGAUGGGUUUAGCUGUUGAUGAUUUUGGUGUAUCAUAUAUAAAGCUUAAGGAGUUAAUUGAUUUUCUGAAAGAAACUGGGCUGCAGUCAAGUGCAGCUGCCACUAGAAAUGCUUCAACUAAGCUUUUCGGUGUUCCGUAUAGAUUUGUUGGUCCAGAUAUUAAAGAGUUCCUUACUGAUGUUAAGCCUGCAUUGCUCAGUGCUCUUGAUACUGAGUAUGAGAAGAAUCCAUAUGAGCAUCUGCAACUCCCAAGAGAUCAGUCAAAACAUCAGACUCAUCUUCCUUAAUUACUGCUGGUGAGUUGGAUAGCUUGCCUCGUGAAGACAUUAGUAGAAAGAUUACUCCUAAUCUUCUGAAGAGCUUGGAAAGUCCUGAUUGGAAGGUUCGUAUGGAGUCAGUUGAAGCUGUAAAUAAAAUACUGGAAUAGGCUAACAAGCGCAUUCAAGCAACUAGAACUGGGAUACCAACAUACAAAGCUGCUUUAACUUUGCUAAUGGUUUUUGGUGUUGGACCAACAGUUUUUGGCAAGCAAGAGUAAAGGCUCACAGAAUCCAGUUAAGUCAUGAGAAGAAGCAACAUGAAGCUACAAUGAAGAGGGAGAGAUUGAUAUUUUUUAUCCCAAUGUAUUUUAUAACUACUUUGGUUAAAAGAGAUUGAUAUAGCUAAUUUGGUUUGAAUUUUAUUAAUGUAAUACUAAUUUUCAUUAAUUAAUUUUUUUAAAUGAUA